CGGCACACCGCUCCCCGCCGCCUUCCCGCCUUCCCCCGCCCCGCCCCCGGAUGUGGCGGUGCGGCCGUUCCGGCCCGUUGUCACUGACGCUUCGCGGUCGCUGGGGUUGCCGCUGCGGAGUCGAGCGGGGAGCCCGGGCGGCGGAAAUCCUCAGAAAACAGUUAUAGGAACUGUAAUGCUGGUGUGCUGUGCUAAAACUUUUCCAUAUAAAGAACGAUUGUAAAGAAAAAAGAAAAAAAAAACUCAUGAAAAACUGCAGAGUAAGGAAUAAAGCAAGAAUUUAAUACAGGACCGUUGAAAAAAGAGUUACUUGAACAUUACGCAUGGUCUCUUAAAACCAAAUAUGAGAAGAAAAUACAUUGACUGAAUUUAUGUUGAAGUAUUCGUGUAAAUUGUACACCAAUUUCUACGGAAAUUGAGUUGCUAUACUGUACGUGUGUUAAAAGUUCUAACCACGUGGUGAAAUGAGACCUGUUCAGAAGAAGUUUGUUACUGUUCUGAAGCAGAAGAUCAAUACAUUUAGGAAAAAUAAAAAGACUCAGGAACAAGCUGUGGACACUGCUUCUCUGGAGAUAUUCAAGACCUGUCUAGGCGCCUACCUGUGGAGCCUGCUGUAG
Molecule: long non-coding RNA, 617 nt
Filed under: Phasianus colchicus (ring-necked pheasant)
Lineage: Eukaryota; Metazoa; Chordata; Aves; Galliformes; Phasianidae
Description: lncRNA (ENSPCLG00000018287.1)
Source: RNAcentral